Schistosoma curassoni is the source of this 51-nucleotide non-coding RNA. The record is from Rfam. NCBI's taxonomy places the organism in Eukaryota, Metazoa, Platyhelminthes, Trematoda, Strigeidida, Schistosomatidae.
AUCCAGCUGACGAGUCCCAGUCCCAAGUAGGACGAAACGUGCGUCUUGGAU